This 2904-nucleotide ribosomal RNA is filed under the name Escherichia coli KOEGE 33 (68a). Its description in RNAcentral is "bacterial LSU rRNA". It matches the Rfam family "Bacterial large subunit ribosomal RNA". Lineage: Bacteria; Pseudomonadati; Pseudomonadota; Gammaproteobacteria; Enterobacterales; Enterobacteriaceae. The record is from RNAcentral. RNAcentral also lists the same sequence under 1 other name.
UUAAGCGACUAAGCGUACACGGUGGAUGCCCUGGCAGUCAGAGGCGAUGAAGGACGUGCUAAUCUGCGAUAAGCGUCGGUAAGGUGAUAUGAACCGUUAUAACCGGCGAUUUCCGAAUGGGGAAACCCAGUGUGAUUCGUCACACUAUCAUUAACUGAAUCCAUAGGUUAAUGAGGCGAACCGGGGGAACUGAAACAUCUAAGUACCCCGAGGAAAAGAAAUCAACCGAGAUUCCCCCAGUAGCGGCGAGCGAACGGGGAGGAGCCCAGAGCCUGAAUCAGUGUGUGUGUUAGUGGAAGCGUCUGGAAAGGCGCGCGAUACAGGGUGACAGCCCCGUACACAAAAAUGCACAUGCUGUGAGCUCGAUGAGUAGGGCGGGACACGUGGUAUCCUGUCUGAAUAUGGGGGGACCAUCCUCCAAGGCUAAAUACUCCUGACUGACCGAUAGUGAACCAGUACCGUGAGGGAAAGGCGAAAAGAACCCCGGCGAGGGGAGUGAAAAAGAACCUGAAACCGUGUACGUACAAGCAGUGGGAGCACAGAGCAAUCUGUGUGACUGCGUACCUUUUGUAUAAUGGGUCAGCGACUUAUAUUCUGUAGCAAGGUUAACCGAAUAGGGGAGCCGAAGGGAAACCGAGUCUUAACUGGGCGUUAAGUUGCAGGGUAUAGACCCGAAACCCGGUGAUCUAGCCAUGGGCAGGUUGAAGGUUGGGUAACACUAACUGGAGGACCGAACCGACUAAUGUUGAAAAAUUAGCGGAUGACUUGUGGCUGGGGGUGAAAGGCCAAUCAAACCGGGAGAUAGCUGGUUCUCCCCGAAAGCUAUUUAGGUAGCGCCUCGUGAAUUCAUCUCCGGGGGUAGAGCACUGUUUCGGCAAGGGGGUCAUCCCGACUUACCAACCCGAUGCAAACUGCGAAUACCGGAGAAUGUUAUCACGGGAGACACACGGCGGGUGCUAACGUCCGUCGUGAAGAGGGAAACAACCCAGACCGCCAGCUAAGGUCCCAAAGUCAUGGUUAAGUGGGAAACGAUGUGGGAAGGCCCAGACAGCCAGGAUGUUGGCUUAGAAGCAGCCAUCAUUUAAAGAAAGCGUAAUAGCUCACUGGUCGAGUCGGCCUGCGCGGAAGAUGUAACGGGGCUAAACCAUGCACCGAAGCUGCGGCAGCGACGCUUAUGCGUUGUUGGGUAGGGGAGCGUUCUGUAAGCCUGCGAAGGUGUGCUGUGAGGCAUGCUGGAGGUAUCAGAAGUGCGAAUGCUGACAUAAGUAACGAUAAAGCGGGUGAAAAGCCCGCUCGCCGGAAGACCAAGGGUUCCUGUCCAACGUUAAUCGGGGCAGGGUGAGUCGACCCCUAAGGCGAGGCCGAAAGGCGUAGUCGAUGGGAAACAGGUUAAUAUUCCUGUACUUGGUGUUACUGCGAAGGGGGGACGGAGAAGGCUAUGUUGGCCGGGCGACGGUUGUCCCGGUUUAAGCGUGUAGGCUGGUUUUCCAGGCAAAUCCGGAAAAUCAAGGCUGAGGCGUGAUGACGAGGCACUACGGUGCUGAAGCAACAAAUGCCCUGCUUCCAGGAAAAGCCUCUAAGCAUCAGGUAACAUCAAAUCGUACCCCAAACCGACACAGGUGGUCAGGUAGAGAAUACCAAGGCGCUUGAGAGAACUCGGGUGAAGGAACUAGGCAAAAUGGUGCCGUAACUUCGGGAGAAGGCACGCUGAUAUGUAGGUGAAGUCCCUCGCGGAUGGAGCUGAAAUCAGUCGAAGAUACCAGCUGGCUGCAACUGUUUAUUAAAAACACAGCACUGUGCAAACACGAAAGUGGACGUAUACGGUGUGACGCCUGCCCGGUGCCGGAAGGUUAAUUGAUGGGGUUAGCGCAAGCGAAGCUCUUGAUCGAAGCCCCGGUAAACGGCGGCCGUAACUAUAACGGUCCUAAGGUAGCGAAAUUCCUUGUCGGGUAAGUUCCGACCUGCACGAAUGGCGUAAUGAUGGCCAGGCUGUCUCCACCCGAGACUCAGUGAAAUUGAACUCGCUGUGAAGAUGCAGUGUACCCGCGGCAAGACGGAAAGACCCCGUGAACCUUUACUAUAGCUUGACACUGAACAUUGAGCCUUGAUGUGUAGGAUAGGUGGGAGGCUUUGAAGUGUGGACGCCAGUCUGCAUGGAGCCGACCUUGAAAUACCACCCUUUAAUGUUUGAUGUUCUAACGUUGACCCGUAAUCCGGGUUGCGGACAGUGUCUGGUGGGUAGUUUGACUGGGGCGGUCUCCUCCUAAAGAGUAACGGAGGAGCACGAAGGUUGGCUAAUCCUGGUCGGACAUCAGGAGGUUAGUGCAAUGGCAUAAGCCAGCUUGACUGCGAGCGUGACGGCGCGAGCAGGUGCGAAAGCAGGUCAUAGUGAUCCGGUGGUUCUGAAUGGAAGGGCCAUCGCUCAACGGAUAAAAGGUACUCCGGGGAUAACAGGCUGAUACCGCCCAAGAGUUCAUAUCGACGGCGGUGUUUGGCACCUCGAUGUCGGCUCAUCACAUCCUGGGGCUGAAGUAGGUCCCAAGGGUAUGGCUGUUCGCCAUUUAAAGUGGUACGCGAGCUGGGUUUAGAACGUCGUGAGACAGUUCGGUCCCUAUCUGCCGUGGGCGCUGGAGAAUUGAGGGGGGCUGCUCCUAGUACGAGAGGACCGGAGUGGACGCAUCACUGGUGUUCGGGUUGUCAUGCCAAUGGCACUGCCCGGUAGCUAAAUGCGGAAGAGAUAAGUGCUGAAAGCAUCUAAGCACGAAACUUGCCCCGAGAUGAGUUCUCCCUGACUCCUUGAGAGUCCUGAAGGAACGUUGAAGACGACGACGUUGAUAGGCCGGGUGUGUAAGCGCAGCGAUGCGUUGAGCUAACCGGUACUAAUGAACCGUGAGGCUUAACCUU